AAUCCUACGGGAGGCAGCAGUGGGGGAUAUUGCACAAUGGGGGGAACCCUGAUGCAGCGACGCCGCGUGGGUGAAGGAGCGUUUCGGCGCGUAAAGCCCUAUCGGCAGGGAAGAAGAUGACGGUAUCUGACCAAGAAGCCCCGGCUAACUACGUGCCAGCCGCCGCGGUAAUACGUAGGGGGCACGCGUUAUCCGGAUUUACUGGGUGUAAAGGGGGCCCAGACGGCAAUGCAAGCCAGGAGCGCAAGCCCGCGGCCCAACCC
RNAcentral lists this ribosomal RNA (263 nucleotides) under uncultured bacterium. RNAcentral describes it as "partial 16S ribosomal RNA". It matches the Rfam family "Bacterial small subunit ribosomal RNA", at positions 335 to 615 of the family's 1533-position model. The record is from RNAcentral.